CUAAUAAGUAUUUACGAGCUAACAACUAAUGGAUAGUUAAGAAAUACCUAACGUGUAGCUUACAACUAACGAUGACUAUCAAGCUAACAACUCACGUCGAGCAAACAACUGACUUCCAACUUAUAUCUAGCUACAGUAUAAACUAACAAGUAUCUUACAACUAAUGUAUAUCCAUCCAUCCAUUUUCUGAGCCGCUUCUCCUCACUAGGGUCGCGGGCGUGCUGGCGCCUAUCCCAGCUAUCAUCGGGCAGGAGGCGGAGUACACCCUGAACUGGUUGCCAGCCAAUCGCAGGGCACAUGUAAACAAACAACCAUUUGCACUCACAUUCACAUCUACGGGCAAUUUAGAGUUGUCAAUUAACCUACCACGCAUGUUUUGGGGAUGUGGGAGGAAACCGGAGUGCCCGGAGAAAACCCACGCAGGCACGGGGAGAACAUACAAACUCCACACAGGCGGGGCCGGGGAUUGAACCCCGGACCUCAGAACUGAGAGGCAGACGCUCUAAACAGUCGUCCACCGUGCCGCCCUAAUGUACAUUUAAAAUCAAAUUUCUAACUAACAACAUCCUGCUAAACACUGUGUAAAGAGCAUCUAACAACUACCAACAAACAUCUAGCUAACAAUUAACUACGAACAUAUAGCAAACAAGUAAAUGUUUAACUAACAAGUGUAGCUAAAACUAGCAUCUAGCUACAGCCAACCAUAGUUUAACCCAGUGAUUCCUAACCAGUGUGCCGCGAGAGCGCUUGUGUGCCGUGGGAAAUGGUCAAAAUGUUAUUUAUUUAUUUAUUAAUUAUUAUAAAACUUAAAUGAUUUUAGCAAAUGGCUGCAAUAUAAAAAAAGAGUGAAAAUUUCAAGGCGGUCUGAAUACUUUCUGUACCCACUGUAUAUCUUAGUUGUUAGCUACACAUUAGCUGCUGUAACCUGUACGUUAGUUGUCAACGAGAUUGUUAGUUCGACGUUAAUUGUUAGCUUGACCUUAGCUUUUGUUAGCAUGACAUUAGCGUUUUUUUGCUAGACGUUAGCUGGUUGUUAGAUCUUUGUUAUUAGAUUUUAGACUUUAGCUGUUGAUAUCUAUGCAGUUGUUAGUUGUUAGCGAGGCAAUUGUUAGUUGAACUAUUUUUGUCAACAGUUAUCUAGACAUGGGUUGUUAGCAAGACAUUAGUUGGUAGUUAGUUGUAAACUAGACAUUAGCGCUUAGCUAGUUUUGGCUAUAUGUUGUUAUUAGUAGUUAGCUAGACAAUUGUCCUUUUUUAGCAAGACAUCAGCUGCUACUACCUAUAUGUUAUUUGUUAGCUGUACGUCAACCAGAAUCUAGGUGUUAUUUGGACUUUAAUUGUUAAUUGUUAGCUAGCUGUUAGCUGUUGUUACCUAUAUGUUAGUUGCUUGCCAAACAUUAGCAGUUGUUAGACCUUAGUGUCUGGCUCUCACACUUUAAUAAAUUAGGUUUCUUUACCUCUACUUUCCGGGUGUGUCGGUGUGGCUGUCAACCAAGCCGUCAGUGUUUUUUCUCUACUCUGUGAUUGGCGGGCAGUCAGGGAGCCACUUUCUGUCGUGGAUUGAUGAAUAUUCCGACUGCUUGCUGCAACAUUCCCAUGCUACGCUAUGUGAGCCAUGAAAAACCCACCCGCUCAAUGUGUGUGUAUGUCAAGAAUCCAGAAGCCGUCUGUCCGUCUGUCUGUCUUUUCCCAUCUGGUGCUGCCUUCCCCCAUAAACAUGCCAGACUGAUUAUUUUUAUCCGCUGCCCUCGAGUGUUUUUGUCUGCGACUCCUCAACAAACAAAAACAACUGAAAAGAAAAACAAAGACAAAUGUGUGUAAAUAGGUCGCCAGGAGAUCCAUUAGUUUUUAUUUGACACAAAACUACAAGUAUUCUCGUCGGGAUUGCAGAAAGUGUCAGCUUUGUCCUGAAUACUCCGUGUCCGGAGAGAUUAAAUUUAGCAUUUUGGUGCCGGACAGGAAAUCCUACUUCAAUUGUCCAUGCAGGGGGAAGUUCAAUAGCCCCUGUUUGUUGUCUGUUAGGAGUCAGUCAUUAGCUACACGCUACUGAGUUGAUAUCUAGAUGUUAGCUGUUAGCUGGCCUUGAGAUGUUUGUUUUUAAGUAAAUGUUAGCUGUUGUUAGGAAGACUUUAGUUAAUAGUUGGUGGUCAGAAUUUAGUUAGCUGUACUCGAGUUGUUUGUAUUUAGCUAUAUAUUAGCUGUUAGCUACACGUCUGUUGGUAUUUGGUUGUAAAACAGAUGUCAUUUGACGGCGAUACAUAAUUGUUAGCUAGCCCCAGAGGUGGCAAUUAGAAGUCUAACGUGGCCUUUUGUUGCCGUCAUGCAACAAAGAGGACGCGUUUGUGGUUUUUAAUCAUGAAAGACAGGCCCCCAGGUCCUCUAAGAGAAUACGUUUGUAGUUUUUAAUCUUGAAAGACAAGUCCUCGUGGGGUGAAAUGCUUUUGUUGUCUGAUAUUUUUUUUUUCUCUGCCUAAGCCGCCGUCAGACUUUCUAACCACGGCGAGGACGCCAAGCAAUCUGUCGCCACCGCCAUCAUCAUGAUAAAAAAGACGUAAGAAAAAAGUAAUUGUCAAGUUAGUUUGCUUUCCACGUGUGACGACACCCCCUUACGACCUUUUUAAUUUUACCUCCGCGAAGCACAGGACACCAACUUGUUUUUCACCGUUAGCAGCACAAAUUAUUCAUCAUAAGGGUUCUUCUAUCUUUUGUAUCUUAACAUUGUCUAUCGUCUAACGUAAUCAAAUCAAUCAAAAGCUUUAUAUAACCAGAAAAUAAAAACCCAUUGAGACCAAGGUCUCUUUUUCAUGGGUGAUCUGGCCAAAAUGGCGAUGAACAAUUCACGUCAUAACAGACAGUUACCGUUAAAAACAACUACAUUAUAGCUAAGCUUAAAAUAAACUAUGCUAGUUAAUGUCCAGCUAACCACUAGCUAACAACUAGCUAACAACUACCUAACAACUAAUGUCUAGCUAUCAACUAAUGACUAGGUAACAACCACAGUACAUCUGGCUAAUAGCUAAUGCUGGGCUAACAACUAACAACUAGCUAACAAUUAACAUCUACCUAAUUAACAACUACUGUCCAGCUGUUUUCUAGUGAACAACUAACGUCAAGCUAAAAAGGAACACCAGGGGCUCUAUUUUCACUACUGGCAUAAAUCCAGUGUGGCGUGUGGCUUAACUCUGCAUGGAGGCGCGUUAGACCCGGUGUUUAUAUAUUUGAGGACCAGCACACUCGUGUGUAUCUGCUACGCUCACUUGUGCGCCGUUGUUAGCAUGAACAAUCCUGUCCAAUUGAAGAGACAACUCUCAUUUCCUUUAAAUGCAGUGCGCGAGUGACUCACUGACAGUUUUUGACAUGGCAGAAAAAUAAAGUGAGAUCACCGAUCUGUACCGUGAAAUUGGCACUUGGAGACCGACCUCCCCCACGAUCGUUCGUGUGCCCCAUGCUGGCCAGUGGGAUGAUUGAUAUAAUGGUGAUAAUAAUUAUAAAGUGUUCAAUGAAUUGAUUUCUACAAUUCAGAGGGUUUGAUGUGGACCAAUCAAAUUCAUCAAAAUCGCGUUACACCAGCCAUCUAAGGUUAGACGUGGUCUGAGCAGGUGUAAGUUUAGACUGGCUUUCAGCCAACAAAUUGUCGCAUGCGCUGUGCGGAUGUCAAAGGCCGGUAUGCACAGCUUAGCGCAGACCGGUCUGCCAAAUGGGCAAACGCAUAGCGAGCCUUGUGCUUGCAUGAAAAUCUAAAUACGUUUUUAUGCUCUGCCGCAAUCUAUGAAAAGUUCAUGUCUAGAAAACAACUGACAUCUACCUAACUAGCGGCUGGCAAAAUAACUAAAAUCUAGCUAGCUAAAUAAUUAAAAUCUAGCUAAUGACUAGCUAACAACAAACGUACAACAAACAACAAAUCUCUCGCAAACAACUAACAUCUGGCUAAUGUCUCGCAAACAAAUACCUAGCCAACUAAGCUCUAGUUCACAGCUGAAGUCUAACUAACAACUAACAUCUAGCUUGCAACUUAAGUCGAGCUAACAACUAACAACUAAAAUCUAACGUCCAGCUAAUGUCUAGCUAACAGCUAAUGUCCAGCUAAUACUCAUAUCUAGUUGACAACUAACUUCCAAUUUUUAGCUAAAAACUGUCACCUGGGCAACAAACGCUGAGCUUACUAAAUAAAAACUAACCUAUACCUUGGUAGUCAGUCGUUGGCUACAUGUUAGGCAUUAGUCAUUAGCAGUACAUAAAUUGUUAGCUAGAUGAUAGUUCUAAGCUCAACGUUAGCGAGAACCCCCGCAUAUUCAUAGAACCUAUCCUCCAUUAUUUGCUGAAAAACAUACAUAUUCGCUGUUAUGCUGCCAUCUUGUGGCAUCUACGUGUAAUUAUAAAUCUUCGAGCAGCAACGAUUACAAAUUUUCUCGACUGGGAGAACUUGGUCCCUAUUCCCCGCAAAUACUGGGGGAACACAAACUUGACAUCAUGUCGAUGUUUCUGACUCUUUGAACUCCAUCUGUGUGGGUGCGUGUGUGUGUGUGUGUGAGUGCGUGUGUCUAUGUAUGAAUAAGCGAAUAAGCGCCACAAGAACUUCAAAGGCGCUACUCGUUGGCUAACGCACCGAAGGCGGAGAUUUACUCACGUUGCAGCAAAGUGAAAGCAGCAAAAUGACGACGCAGAGGGUUUCACGCCGUCGUCGGCGUCGUCGUCUGGGAGGUUUGACACGUGUCGUCCUCGGCCAGGUAAAUAUGCAAAUGAGCGUCUUCCAGAGGCCAGGAUUACUCAAAGAAAGCUUUGCUGUUGAGCCCUGACAGCUUUCACAGAAAGAUUUAAGAAAAAGAAAAAAACAGCUUUUCAUCCGCUACCCUCUUUCUUACAAGGAAUAAUGUAGAACACUUGGUCUUUAUCCAUCUAUCUCCCUAACUACAAUCUAUCCAUCUAGCCUUCUACCUAACUAGCCAUCUUGUUAUGGUUUUUGGUGAUGGCAAAAACGAGGGACCACAGCACAAAGAAGCAGGGAGGCAAGGCGGGAAUGCAGGAGGCAAAACAGGAAAAAAGACAUGACCAGGGACGUGACGUAGAGCAAUGAUCCGACAAAGACUGAAAGAAACCAGGGAGAAAUGCAAGCAAACUGCCGAGACAACGAGGCACACCGAAACGAGGCACGAGUGGCUGGAGGUCGAGGUCUGACGAAAACAGGUUCACGGCUCACCGGACUCGCUAACGAGAAACAAAAAAAGCGUCAGCCUGCCAAAAGACGGAGCGAACUAAGCCGAGCGUGCCGGCGCCCAGACGGGGCUGACGGCCGGGAUUUAGGAGGCAAUCUCGACGGGACACCACCCGGAGAGUACGGGAACGCCGCGACGCCUCGUCGGGGUCCACCUUGGACAAGUGUGAAAGGUACCAGCGUGGAAUGGGGGCUCAAAGUCGACCUGCAAAUUUGCCGGCUUCGGAGGUACAAUCAGAGGAUGUGACAGGACCCAGAAUGGAGGGUUGAAGUUGACCCACACGUUU
Long non-coding RNA from Phyllopteryx taeniolatus (common seadragon), 5499 nucleotides. RefSeq lists it as uncharacterized. NCBI's taxonomy places the organism in Eukaryota, Metazoa, Chordata, Actinopteri, Syngnathiformes, Syngnathidae. The transcript is spliced from 4 exons. The record is from RefSeq and is a predicted model, not a curated record.